ACGGAAGGCAGCAGUGGGGAAUAUUGCACAAUGGGGGAAACCCUGAUGCAGCGACGCCGCGUGAGUGAAGAAGUAUUUCGGUAUGUAAAGCUCUAUCAGCAGGGAAGAAAAUGACGGUACCUGACCAAGAAGCCCCGGCUAACUACGUGCCAGCAGCCGCGGUAAUACGUAGGGGGCAAGCGUUAUCCGGAUUUACUGGGUGUAAAGGGAGCGUAGACGGUACUGCAAGUCAGAAGUGAAAGCCCGGGGCUCAACCGCGGGACUGCUUUUGAAACUGCAGCACUGGAGUGCAGGAGAGGUAAGUGGAAUUCCUAGUGUAGCGGUGAAAUGCGUAGAUAUUAGGAGGAACACCAGUGGCGAAGGCGGCUUACUGGACUGUAACUGACGUUGAGGCUCGAAAGCGUGGGGAGCAAACAGGAUUAGAUACCCUGGUA
Molecule: ribosomal RNA, 434 nt
Filed under: uncultured Clostridium sp.
Lineage: Bacteria; Bacillati; Bacillota; Clostridia; Eubacteriales; Clostridiaceae
Description: partial 16S ribosomal RNA
Rfam family: Bacterial small subunit ribosomal RNA
Source: RNAcentral